UACGUAGGGUGCAAGCGUUAAUCGGAAUUACUGGGCGUAAAGCGUGCGCAGGCGGUCUGUUAAGUCAGCUGUGAAAUCCCCGGGCUCAACCUGGGAAUGGCAGUUGAGACUGGCAGGCUGGAGUGUGUCAGAGGGGGGUAGAAUUCCACGUGUAGCAGUGAAAUGCGUAGAGAUGUGGAGGAAUACCGAUGGCGAAGGCGGGUCUCUGGGCCGAUACUGACGCUGAGGAGCGAAAGCGUGGGGAGCGAACAGG
This 253-nucleotide ribosomal RNA is filed under the name uncultured bacterium. RNAcentral describes it as "partial 16S ribosomal RNA". It matches the Rfam family "Bacterial small subunit ribosomal RNA", at positions 524 to 776 of the family's 1533-position model. The record is from RNAcentral.